GAUGAAUGCUGGCGGCGUGCUUAACACAUGCAAGUCGAGCGGUAAGGCCCUUCGGGGUACACGAGCGGCGGACGGCUGAGUAACGCGUGGGAACAUGCCCUACAGUGAGGAAUAACUGCCCGAAAGGGUGGCUAAUGCCGCAUAUGAUCCUCGGAUUAAAGGAUUUAUCCGCUUUAGGAGUGGCCUGCGUACGAUUAGCUUGUUGGUGAGGUAAUGGCUUACCAAGGCGACGAUCGUUAGCUGGUCUGAGAGGAUGACCAGCCAGACUGGAACUGAGACACGGUCCAGACUCCUACGGGAGGCAGCAGUGAGGAAUCUUCCACAAUGGGCGAAAGCCUGAUGGAGCAACGCCGCGUGCAGGAUGAAGGCCCUCGGGUCGUAAACUGCUUUUAUGAGUGAAGAAUAUGACGGUAACUCAUGGAUAAGCACCGGCUAACUACGUGCCAGCCGCCGCAGUA
Molecule: ribosomal RNA, 458 nt
Filed under: uncultured bacterium
Lineage: Bacteria
Description: partial 16S ribosomal RNA
Rfam family: Bacterial small subunit ribosomal RNA
Source: RNAcentral